AACCACUAGGGGUGUCCGUUUUGGACUGAGACAAGGUUACUUGAUCCCUUUGAACCUGAUCUAGUUAGGACUAGCGUAGGAAAGUGGAGA
This 90-nucleotide non-coding RNA is filed under the name chicken gut metagenome. RNAcentral's name for it is "TPP riboswitch (THI element)". It matches the Rfam family "TPP riboswitch aptamer (THI element)", at positions 6 to 96 of the family's 105-position model. Rfam says of the family: Vitamin B(1) in its active form thiamin pyrophosphate (TPP) is an essential coenzyme that is synthesised by coupling of pyrimidine and thiazole moieties in bacteria. The record is from RNAcentral.